UUUGAUCCUGGCUCAGAGCGAACGCUGGCGGCAGGCUUAACACAUGCAAGUCGAACGGGCGUAGCAAUACGUCAGUGGCAGACGGGUGAGUAACGCGUGGGAACGUACCUUUUGGUUCGGAACAACUGAGGGAAACUUCAGCUAAUACCGAAUAAGCCCUUACGGGGAAAGAUUUAUCGCCGAAAGAUCGGCCCGCGUCUGAUUAGCUUGUUGGUGAGGUAACGGCUCACCAAGGCGACGAUCAGUAGCUGGUCUGAGAGGAUGAUCAGCCACAUUGGGACUGAGACACGGCCCAAACUCCUACGGGAGGCAGCAGUGGGGAAUAUUGGACAAUGGGCGAAAGCCUGAUCCAGCCAUGCCGCGUGAGUGAUGAAGGCCCUAGGGUUGUAAAGCUCUUUUGUGCGGGAAGAUAAUGACGGUACCGCAAGAAUAAGCCCCGGCUAACUUCGUGCCAGCAGCCGCGGUAAUACGAAGGGGGCUAGCGUUGCUCGGAAUCACUGGGCGUAAAGGGUGCGUAGGCGGGUUUCUAAGUCAGAGGUGAAAGCCUGGAGCUCAACUCCAGAACUGCCUUUGAUACUGGAAGUCUUGAGUUCGGGAGAGGUGAGUGGAACUGCGAGUGUAGAGGUGAAAUUCGUAGAUAUUCGCAAGAACACCAGUGGCGAAGGCGGCUCACUGGCCCGAUACUGACGCUGAGGCACGAAAGCGUGGGGAGCAAACAGGAUUAGAUACCCUGGUAGUCCACGCCGUAAACG
RNAcentral lists this ribosomal RNA (752 nucleotides) under uncultured soil bacterium. RNAcentral describes it as "bacterial SSU rRNA". It matches the Rfam family "Bacterial small subunit ribosomal RNA", at positions 12 to 808 of the family's 1533-position model. The record is from RNAcentral.